UACAGAGGGUGCGAGCGUUGUCCGGAAUCACUGGGCGUAAAGGGCGCGUAGGCCGCUCAGUAAGGUUGCGGUGAAAGCCCGGGGCUCAACCCCGGGUCGGCCGUGGCAACUGCUGGGCUGGAGCACUGUAGAGGCAGGUGGAAUUCCGGGUGUAGCGGUGGAAUGCGUAGAGAUCCGGAAGAACACCGGUGGCGAAGGCGGCCUGCUGGGCAGUAGCUGACGCUGAGGCGCGACAGCGUGGGGAGCAAACAGG
RNAcentral lists this ribosomal RNA (253 nucleotides) under uncultured bacterium. RNAcentral describes it as "partial 16S ribosomal RNA". It matches the Rfam family "Bacterial small subunit ribosomal RNA", at positions 524 to 776 of the family's 1533-position model. The record is from RNAcentral.